Unclassified non-coding RNA from Callithrix jacchus (white-tufted-ear marmoset), 297 nucleotides. It matches the Rfam family "Metazoan signal recognition particle RNA". Rfam says of the family: The signal recognition particle (SRP) is a universally conserved ribonucleoprotein. It is involved in the co-translational targeting of proteins to membranes. The eukaryotic SRP consists of a 300-nucleotide 7S RNA and six proteins: SRPs 72, 68, 54, 19, 14, and 9. Lineage: Eukaryota; Metazoa; Chordata; Mammalia; Primates; Cebidae. The record is from Ensembl.
AGUGGGUGUGGUGGCGUGUGCUUGUACUAGGUGCUUGGGAGGCUGAGGCAAGAGAAUUGCCUGAGUCCGGCAGUGCUGGGCUGUGAUGUGCUAUGCUGAUUGGGCGUCUGCACUAAGUGUGGUACCAAUAUGGUGACCUCUCAGGAGCGAGGGACCACCAGGUUGCCUAAGGAGGGGUGAACUGGCCCAGUUCGGAAAUGGAGCAGGUCGAAAUUCCCAUGCUGAUCAAUAGUGGGAUUGCACUUGUGAAUAGCCACUGCACUGCAGACUGGGCAACAUAGUGAGACCCUGUCUCUU